RNAcentral lists this ribosomal RNA (500 nucleotides) under uncultured bacterium. Its description in RNAcentral is "partial 16S ribosomal RNA". It matches the Rfam family "Bacterial small subunit ribosomal RNA", at positions 29 to 523 of the family's 1533-position model. The record is from RNAcentral.
AACGAACGCUGGCGGCAUGCCUUACACAUGCAAGUCGAACGGCAGCACGGGAGCAAUCCUGGUGGCGAGUGGCGAACGGGUGAGUAAAGUAUCGGAACGUGCCCAGUCGUGGGGGAUAACGUAGCGAAAGUUACGCUAAUACCGCAUACGAUCUAUGGAUGAAAGCGGGGGAUCGCAAGACCUCGCGCGAUUGGAGCGGCCGGUAUCAGAUUAGGUAGUUGGUGGGGUAAAGGCUCACCAAGCCGACGAUCUGUAGCUGGUCUGAGAGGACGACCAGCCACACUGGGACUGAGACACGGCCCAGACCCCUACGGGAGGCAGCAGUGGGGAAUUUUGGACAAUAGGCGAAAGCCUGAUUCAGCCAUGCCGCGUGCAGGAUGAAGGCCGUCGGGUUGUAAACUGCGUUUGUACGGAACGAAAAGGUUUGGCCUAAUAAGCUGAGCUCAUGACGGUACCGUAAGAAUAAGCACCGGCUAACUACGUGCCAGCCGCCGCGGUAA